UGAUAGCUGUGAAGCGUGAGGUUGCUGCCGACGGCGCGAGAGCGCGGGAUGGCAGGUUUUCCGUGGAGCGAAUGUCAAGUUAGGAAACUGGCGACAA
Molecule: non-coding RNA, 97 nt
Filed under: uncultured Mediterraneibacter sp.
Lineage: Bacteria; Bacillati; Bacillota; Clostridia; Lachnospirales; Lachnospiraceae
Description: S10-Clostridia ribosomal protein leader
Rfam family: S10-Clostridia ribosomal protein leader
Source: RNAcentral